GUCCCAGGGAGGAGCAGGCUUUCCUUCUGCUUUGUAUGUCUGGAAAGAAGGUUGGUUAGGUGGGGAGGAAUGUGAGGAGGCUGGGUAACGCAUAAACAAAUGGAGUUUGUCUUCAGGGUUUGGAGGCUUGAGGGGGUCUAGGGAGUGUAGCUCCACUGGUAAAGUACCAACAUGCAGGAAGGCCCCUCAAGUUUGAGCCCCGGGGUGGCGUAAAACCAGACACGAUGGUGCACAUCCGUAAUCCCAGCACCGGGGCAGGUGGAGACAGGAGGAUCAGAAGAUCAAGAUCAAGGUCAUCCUUGGUGACAGAUCCCAAUCUACUGGGGAGGGAUCCUCGAGAGACCACCUGACACUGUGGAGCUGAGACACCAGCAUCCAAACUGUAGUAGUUUCCUGAGGAGGCAGCCCCUCUGAGCGCCAGCAUUUAAAGUGACAGUCACGCCCCAUGUAAACAACCUGGUUCCCACACCCUGCCUCGUUGUUGAGAUGCUCUGCCUUCACUGGGACCAGACUUGAUGGACUAAAGGACCGUGGGUGGAAAUCUCUAAACCAUGAGCUAAAAUAUGUCCUUUACCUGCCUUCAGAUGGGGUUUCUCUGUAUAGCCCUGGCUGUCCUGGAACUCACUAUGUAGACCAGGCUGGCCACAGAGAUCCGCCUGCCUCUGCCUCCCAAGAGCUGGGAUUAAAGGCGUGCACCACCAGUGCCCAGCCAAGUCCUUCAUUCUUUAAGUUGUUUCCAUCAGGUACUUUCUCAC
This 755-nucleotide long non-coding RNA is filed under the name Cricetulus griseus (Chinese hamster). RNAcentral describes it as "lncRNA (ENSCGRG00015037448.1)". The record is from RNAcentral. Lineage: Eukaryota; Metazoa; Chordata; Mammalia; Rodentia; Cricetidae.